This 301-nucleotide ribosomal RNA is filed under the name uncultured bacterium. RNAcentral's name for it is "partial 16S ribosomal RNA". It matches the Rfam family "Bacterial small subunit ribosomal RNA", at positions 509 to 807 of the family's 1533-position model. The record is from RNAcentral.
CAGCCGCCGCGGGAAUACGGAGGGUGCAAGCGUUACUCGGAAUCACUGGGCGUAAAGGACGCGUAGGCGGAUUAUCAAGUCUCUUGUGAAAUCUAACGGCUUAACCGUUAAACUGCUUGGGAAACUGAUAAUCUAGAGUAAGGGAGAGGCAGAUGGAAUUCUUGGUGUAGGGGUAAAAUCCGUAGAGAUCAAGAGGAAUACCCAUUGCGAAAGCGAUCUGCUGGAACUUAACUGACGCUAAUGCGUGAAAGCGUGGGGAGCAAACAGGAUUAGAUACCCCCGUAGUCCCUGUCUCUUAUAC